UAGCGGAGCGUGUGGUUUAAUUCGAUGCAACACGAAGAACCUUACCAAGGCUUGACAUGCUGGAAGUAGUGAACCGAAAGGGGAGCCACCUGUUAAGUCAGGAGCCUGCACAGGUGCUGCAUGGCUGUCGUCAGCUCGUGCCGUGAGGUGUUGGGUUAAGUCCCCCAACGAGCGUAACCCUUAUUGCCAGUUAUUUUCUCUGGCGAGACUGCCUCGCAAAACGGGGAGGAAGGUGGGGAUGACGUCAAGUCAGCACGGCCCUUAUGCCUUGGGCUACACACACGCUACAAUGGACGGAACAAUAGGUUGCAAUGGAGCGAUUCGGAGCUAAUCCUGAAAGCCGAUCUCAGUUCGGAUCGCAGGCUGAAACCCGCCUGCGUGAAGUCGGAGUUGCUAGUAACCGCAUAA
RNAcentral lists this ribosomal RNA (408 nucleotides) under uncultured bacterium. RNAcentral's name for it is "bacterial SSU rRNA". It matches the Rfam family "Bacterial small subunit ribosomal RNA", at positions 930 to 1349 of the family's 1533-position model. The record is from RNAcentral.